UGGCGGACGGGUGAGUAAUGUCUGGGAAACUGCCCGAUGGAGGGGGAUAACUACUGGAAACGGUAGCUAAUACCGCAUAACGUCGCAAGACCAAAGAGGGGGACCUUCGGGCCUCUUGCCAUCGGAUGUGCCCAGAUGGGAUUAGCUAGUAGGUGGGGUAACGGCUCACCUAGGCGACGAUCCCUAGCUGGUCUGAGAGGGUGACCAGCCACACUGGAACUGAGACACGGUCCAG
RNAcentral lists this ribosomal RNA (235 nucleotides) under uncultured bacterium. RNAcentral's name for it is "partial 16S ribosomal RNA". It matches the Rfam family "Bacterial small subunit ribosomal RNA", at positions 96 to 334 of the family's 1533-position model. The record is from RNAcentral.